Non-coding RNA from Biomphalaria pfeifferi, 585 nucleotides. The record is from the annotation of a GenBank genome assembly. Lineage: Eukaryota; Metazoa; Mollusca; Gastropoda; Planorbidae.
AAAUUGAAUUAUCCUCCUUUAUACUUUCUUGGUCGCCGCUUUAAAGUAUGAAGCUAACAAUAAUUAACUAUAAAAUCUCGCUGGCACAGUGGUUAGUGUGUUGGCAUGUGGAGGCUUCAGCCAUCCAAUUCUUAUUCAGGUCUUUCAACAUUUUUUAAAAAUGCAUUUAAAAAGCGGUCAAGGUAACAUUCACAACGGUCCCCCUUCUUUCUCCCCAUCCCCUACCUAACAGGUCCAGACAAGUGACAGGAUCACAGCAUAUCGAGAAAGCUAAGAGCAAGCACUUGAGCUAAACAAAAACGAUUGUUAAAAAAUAUUUUUAAUCACAGAGAUUUAUUAUUGUGAGUCUAGAUCCACUCCAAAUUUAAUUAAAUAACCAAUCCAAACUAAUUAAUACAAUUACUUAAAUAAGUUGUUUUUUUUAAAUAUAUUUGUGAUAUUUUUCUCGUUGAGCCAAAACAUUCUUCAUAAAGUGAAAGUCAAAAACUCCACAAAAUGAAUCAUUUAUCUCAAGCUAAAAUUUCGCACCUAGAAGUUGAAAGAGCAUCCCUGUAAUGACGCUAAUUACGAAGGUUCGUCCAUGCU